Molecule: ribosomal RNA, 465 nt
Filed under: uncultured Klebsiella sp.
Lineage: Bacteria; Pseudomonadati; Pseudomonadota; Gammaproteobacteria; Enterobacterales; Enterobacteriaceae
Description: bacterial SSU rRNA
Rfam family: Bacterial small subunit ribosomal RNA
Source: RNAcentral
CCUACGGGUGGCAGCAGUGGGGAAUAUUGCACAAUGGGCGCAAGCCUGAUGCAGCCAUGCCGCGUGUGUGAAGAAGGCCUUCGGGUUGUAAAGCACUUUCAGCGGGGAGGAAGGCGUUAAGGUUAAUAACCUUGUCGAUUGGCGUUACCCGCAGAAGAAGCACCGGCUAACUCCGUGCUAGCAGCCGCGGUAAUACGGAGGGUGCAAGCGUUAAUCGGAAUUACUGGGCGUAAAGCGCACGCAGGCGGUCUGUCAAGUCGGAUGUGAAAUCCCCGGGCUCAACCUGGGAACUGCAUUCGAAACUGGCAGGCUAGAGUCUUGUAGAGGGGGGUAGAAUUCCAGGUGUAGCGGUGAAAUGCGUAGAGAUCUGGAGGAAUACCGGUGGCGAAGGCGGCCCCCUGGACAAAGACUGACGCUCAGGUGCGAAAGCGUGGGGAGCAAACAGGAUUAGAUACCCCGGUAGUC